CAUCGGACUGACAUCUCUUUCUGUGUCUAUCUAUAACAUCAAACUGCCAUGUCUAUCUGUGUCCCACCCUUUCUGAAGGACAGCACUGAAAAUUUCUUAUUGUGAAUUUCAGUUUUCCAGAUUCCCAAGUAUUACAAGACACAACUUAGAGACCUCAAAAUGACAAAGAAUGAACUGCAUGCAAAUUUCUCAAGCAUGCUACUGGCAAUAGGAAAUCAACUGUGCUUGGAAGGGGAAACCAACCUUAAAAAUAAUGGCCAGAACUGUGUACUCUGCCCUACAAACUGGAAUUGGGAAGGUGGCAAUACAUGUUACUACUACGGCAAGGAAGCAAAGUCAUGGGAACAGAGUCGCCAGUUUUGUUCCGCACAAAACUCUACUCUUCUUCUGAUAAAAGAGGCAGAGAAGCUGGAACUGGCAAAAAAAAAAAAUCCUGAAAGCCAAUUCUUGUUUGGAUUAACAUUUAGAGACAAACAGAGAGACUGGUAUUGGGAAGACAACACAGCUCUUACAAAAGAACAAAAGUCUUGACAUACGUAAAAAUAUCUUCAUACUAAAGAAAUGGGCAUGGUGAUGGACUCCAGGAGUGACCCAAGUCUGUUGUUCCAGAUACAAAACUGCCAAAUGAUUACUCAGUUUUAACCAAUACAAGUGAUGGACAAAAUGACC
Molecule: long non-coding RNA, 669 nt
Organism: Columba livia (rock pigeon)
Lineage: Eukaryota; Metazoa; Chordata; Aves; Columbiformes; Columbidae
Exons: 4
Source: RefSeq, a predicted model, not a curated record